GACGAACGCUGGCGGCGUGCUUAACACAUGCAAGUCGAACGGAAAGGCCCUGCUUUUGUGGGGUGCUCGAGUGGCGAACGGGUGAGUAACACGUGAGUAACCUGCCCUUGACUUUGGGAUAACUUCAGGAAACUGGGUCUAAUACCGGAUAGGAGCUCCUGCUGCAUGGUGGGGGUUGGAAAGUUUCGGCGGUUGGGGAUGGACUCGCGGCUUAUCAGCUUGUUGGUGGGGUAGUGGCUUACCAAGGCUUUGACGGGUAGCCGGACUGAGAGGGUGACCGGCCACAUUGGGACUGAGAUACGGCCCAGACUCCUACGGGAGGCAGCAGUGGGGAAUAGUGCACAAUGGGCGGAAGCCUGAUGCAGCAACGCCGCGUGCGGGAUGACGGCCUUCGGGUUGUAAACCGCUGUCGCCUGUGACGAAGCGUGAGUGACGGUAAUGGGUAAAGAAGCACCGGCUAACUACGUG
This 468-nucleotide ribosomal RNA is filed under the name uncultured bacterium. Its description in RNAcentral is "partial 16S ribosomal RNA". It matches the Rfam family "Bacterial small subunit ribosomal RNA", at positions 28 to 507 of the family's 1533-position model. The record is from RNAcentral.